Molecule: ribosomal RNA, 922 nt
Filed under: Actinomycetales bacterium 705
Lineage: Bacteria; Bacillati; Actinomycetota; Actinomycetes; Actinomycetales
Description: bacterial SSU rRNA
Rfam family: Bacterial small subunit ribosomal RNA
Source: RNAcentral
GCUGGCGGCGUGCUUACACAUGCAAGUCGAACGAUGAACCUCACUUGUGGGGGGAUUAGUGGCGAACGGGUGAGUAACACGUGAGUAACCUGCCCUUAACUCUGGGAUAAGCCUUGGAAACGGGGUCUAAUACCGGAUAUUUACUUCCUGUCGCAUGGUGGGUUGUGGAAAGAUUUAUUGGUUUUGGAUGGACUCGCGGCCUAUCAGCUUGUUGGUGAGGUAAUGGCUUACCAAGGCGACGACGGGUAGCCGGCCUGAGAGGGUGACCGGCCACACUGGGACUGAGACACGGCCCAGACUCCUACGGGAGGCAGCAGUGGGGAAUAUUGCACAAUGGGCGCAAGCCUGAUGCAGCGACGCCGCGUGAGGGAUGAAGGCCUUCGGGUUGUAAACCUCUUUCAGUAGGGAACAAGGCCGGCUUUUGGUUGGUUGAGGGUACCUGCAGAAGAAGCGCCGGCUAACUACGUGCCAGCAGCCGCGGUAAUACGUAGGGCGCAAGCGUUAUCCGGAAUUAUUGGGCGUAAAGAGCUCGUAGGCGGUUUGUCGCGUCUGCCGUGAAAGUCCGGGGCUCAACUCCGGAUCUGCGGUGGGUACGGGCAGACUAGAGUGCAGUAGGGGAGACUGGAAUUCCUGGUGUAGCGGUGAAAUGCGCAGAUAUCAGGAGGAACACCGAUGGCGAAGGCAGGUCUCUGGGCUGUAACUGACGCUGAGGAGCGAAAGCAUGGGGAGCGAACAGGAUUAGAUACCCUGGUAGUCCAUGCCGUAAACGUUGGGCACUAGGUGUGGGGGACAUUCCACGUUUUCCGCGCCGUAGCUAACGCAUUAAGUGCCCCGCCUGGGGAGUACGGCGCAAGGCUAAACUCAAAGGAAUUGACGGGGGCCCGCACAAGCGCGGAGCAUGCGGAUUAAUUCUAUGCAACGC